Molecule: non-coding RNA, 185 nt
Filed under: Gammaproteobacteria bacterium
Lineage: Bacteria; Pseudomonadati; Pseudomonadota; Gammaproteobacteria
Also listed under: 1 other name
Description: 6S RNA
Rfam family: 6S / SsrS RNA
About the family: E. coli 6S RNA was the first non coding RNA to be sequenced, but its function was unknown until recently.
Source: RNAcentral
CGCCGCCUGCGGUGUUCGACACGUGGACCGGGUUACCCUCGGACCUAAUUGAAAACCCAGGGGCGGGUCAUUCGACAGCAUUGUGCAUGUCCGCCCCGAGCGGGAAGCCUUACCUGCCGAUUGCCUGCCCCACCUGUUGCUCCGGUUCGAGAGCAACGGUUCGCACCGGCACCUGCGGGUGGCGC